UCCGGCGCUCCGGAUGCCCCUCAGGGGAUUGCCCCGGGUCCCCCCCGGGUCUGCUACCCUUGCGGUGCGUCCUCCGCAACUUCCCUUGCGGUAAAGGCAUCGUCUCUCCCUCUCUUCGUUCGUCUAAGACUGCAGUCGUUCGUUACGCUCACUCCGCUUGCUUGUCUCGCUUCGCUCGCUUACCCGUUCAUGCUUCUUAUAAGCCGGACCGGACUAAAAGGCCGAGAAAACCUCUGCAAGCGGUAACUCGUAUAAUAACCACUGAACCUCAGUUAAGGCCCGAACCGGAUAAGGAUUCGGGAAAAAAGCUUACCCGACGGCUCGCGUUUAGCGAUCCUAGGGACGAUAGUUAUAGACUCUGAGACAAUAAGGCAGUGGCUUUCCCAGUAAGCUUUUAGGCGGUCUUGGGAAAGGAACAGGAGGGGCCAGGGGGACCUUCUGUUCAAAGCGGUACUCGAUAGGUGGCUCCAUACGAUGGGAUUGGGACCUCUGAAAUCUUGAAUUUAGCCCUUUUGGGGGUGCACGUUCAAAGUAAUAGGAGCUCCCCCGUCGGAGGUGAACCGGAAGAGGCUUAUCGCCCUCGUAUGUGUCAAGUAUGUGUGCUCGUUUGUGUUUGUGUUAAGUGGGCUCGUAGAGGCGGCCUAGCUGCUAUAGUCUUACAAGCAAUACAAGGCUCAAUAAGGCGCGUUUAUCGGCUCCUAUUGCUCAGUGUAUUGUUGUUUAAAGGGCUACUAGUUUAAAUGCUGUCAAGCCCAGAGGCGGCCCCUUUGGGAGCUGAUCUGGGGGCGGAGCAGCUCAUAGUAAGA
Molecule: long non-coding RNA, 806 nt
Filed under: Panax ginseng (ginseng)
Lineage: Eukaryota; Viridiplantae; Streptophyta; Magnoliopsida; Apiales; Araliaceae
Description: long non-coding RNA (PGIN_LNC014086)
Source: RNAcentral